CCCCUUAGAUAUAUUCCUUUCUUUUACGAUACUAUGUUGUUUUAAAAUCAUAAAUAAUUAAAACGAUACGAACCAAAGAUCACUAUUUUUCCAGACCGAAUAUUAUGUAAAAUUGGUAGUGUUGGGCAGUGAUAGAUGCAGCUCUUAGACAAAUACAUAAAAGCUGGCCAACUCAGAUCAAAUUACAAUUGAGAGGGAUGAUGUAUAAGGAUAAAAAUAAAAGAAAUAUGAUUUAUAAAAUCAAAAAUAGAAAGGCUUUGCCCUUUGGUGUGAAAAUUGAGACUCAGAAGGUAGCUGAGCUGGUUCUCCUGAGUUGGUAUCUAGGCUCAGAAUUAGCUACAUUUGAGCACAUAAGUUUCUCCAAGUCCUGUUAACAACAAUAGAUAAUAGUCAGUCAAGGUAUUUCCUUCAGCAUAACGAAAUAGAGUUAUUGUGCAUUGACAGUAUAAAACUAUUUAAGCAAAAUUCAUUUAUAGUCACUCGGGCCAAACUUAUAAUAUUCGAUAGCCUAAAAUUACAAUAUACAUUUUAUAGUACAAAAGUAAUUUUAGUGGCUAGUCCAAAAAUCAGAUCUGCAAAGACAGAUCGCGGAAAAGAGAGGCGACAAUGCCAUGGCUGCAAAAUCACCGAUUGCAUCCAAAGUAAAAACCUUUGAAUCGCCGACCGUCUGGUGAUUUGCCAGGCCAAGAUACGGGUCAGAUAGUCUCUAUGCCCGAUCCAGUUAACCCAGAAUCCGGAUAAAAUAUCAUCACUGCCUCAAUUGUUAUGUAGCAAAAAAGAGGAACUAAAAUCACAGAAACAGAGACAGAGAAAGAGAGAUAUGGAU
Molecule: long non-coding RNA, 826 nt
Filed under: Nicotiana tabacum (common tobacco)
Lineage: Eukaryota; Viridiplantae; Streptophyta; Magnoliopsida; Solanales; Solanaceae
Description: long non-coding RNA (NTAB_LNC009788)
Source: RNAcentral